UAUAUAUAAGUAAUAUUUACACUUAAAUUCGACUUAAAAAUAAACUUAUAAUAAGUUAUAUAUAU
RNAcentral lists this transfer RNA (65 nucleotides) under Xylocopa appendiculata. RNAcentral describes it as "tRNA-Arg". Lineage: Eukaryota; Metazoa; Arthropoda; Insecta; Hymenoptera; Apidae. The record is from RNAcentral.